GUCUUUUCAGGUAACCCGGAAACUAAGUCACCAGAAUGGCUUUGGGUUUUACAUUUGGGAGCAUACCCCGCCUUCUUCAAAAGGAAAUCAGGGUCCAGACAAGCAUUUGGGUGAGACAUUGGAACUUUUCCACAAAUCCGCUUGGCCGGCCUAGGUGAAGAGGAAGUUGAGUCGGAAGAAAUAGAAAUUACCUCAACCACGUCAUCUUGGCUCUCAUAGCCAUCGUCCUACGCAUAAAGGUAACAGGAUAUAAGCAUAAGUCGGAACAUAAUGAUGAUAAACAAAAGGGUAAAGUUUUACCUCUGACUGUUCUUCGCCGGCUUGGGACUCGCCGACGACGGAUGACUCCUUGAUGGUGGCUUUGCCCUUGCUCGUCUUCUUCUUCUUCGACGGCGGCAGUUUAGUUGUUUUUU
RNAcentral lists this long non-coding RNA (413 nucleotides) under Hordeum vulgare. Its description in RNAcentral is "long non-coding RNA (HVUL_LNC008864)". The record is from RNAcentral. Lineage: Eukaryota; Viridiplantae; Streptophyta; Magnoliopsida; Poales; Poaceae.